AUCACCACUUUGCAGCCCCGAUACAAUAAUUAAUUGUAUACACAAGCAAGGAUCACUUGUGGAUGUCAAAUCACUGAGUAAAAGGAUGUUUGAGAAUAGGAAAUUCAAUCUGACAAUAUUUCCUCCACAUAUUACUUACUAAUUAAUUAUACAGUGGAGAAGGUGCCCUGAUAAGAGCUCUGGUGAAUACCCCUUAUCUAGAUGAUCAGAUUUAGUGUUUCCUGUAACCAGACAGCUAACAUGUUCCUUCUGAUGCAAUGCAGUGAAAAGUACACAGCAUCCUUUGUUCAGACUCUGUCAAAAAUGUUUAACCCGAAUCUGAUAAUCAGAAAACAGACAAGUUAGAACGUAGGGCAUUCUCCACAGCAGCUGACCAGGACUCUUCAAAAAUGAAAAGGUCACAUAAGGCCAAAACCAAAAAGGAAGAGGACCAUUCUAGAUUGGAAUAGACUAAAGAGACAUGACAAUGCAGUGUACCAGCCUUGACUGGACCCGAUUUUUAAAAAUAAUACAGCUGCCAGGACAUUUGGGGAAUAACAAGGGACUUUUGAAUUUGGACUGCAUUUUAAGUGAUUUUACUGAAUCAAUAUUAAAAUUCUUGGGUGUAAAAAAAAAGUAUUAUUAAAAAUAUUUCCAAUCACUUUCUGGCUUUUAAAUUGAAAAAUCCACAUAAAAUAUUUUGUGUAUAAUUUAAUUUUUAUUUAACUACAUAGAAUAAAGUUUUCUAAAGCAGAGUUUUCCAAUAGAAACAUAAUGUGAGCCACAUAGGUAAGCUUAAAUUCUAGUAUCCACAUUUUAAAAAGUAAAAAGAGAUGAAAUUGAUUUUAAUUAAAAUUUUAUUUAAGCCAAUAUAUCCAAAGUUUUAUUUCAACAUAUAAUCAGUAUUAAAAGUUACUAGUGAGACAUUUUACUUUUUUAAAAUUAUUCAUUCUUCAAAAUUCUGUCAGUAUUUUACAUUUAUUGUAAAAUGAAUUGCCCUCAA
Molecule: long non-coding RNA, 982 nt
Filed under: Homo sapiens (human)
Lineage: Eukaryota; Metazoa; Chordata; Mammalia; Primates; Hominidae
Description: non-protein coding lnc-PLPP4-6:1
Source: RNAcentral